GGGUAGAGAAGUGGGACCCACGCAUUUCACCAAUGGGUAGUAGGAACGAAGCAUUAGAUGCUGCUCCUUAUUUUCCUCCGUUUAAUCUGAACUUUGCGUAAUACUCUCUUACCAAUUUACCUUUUUUCUCUCUCAUAUUUUCUCAGGUAACAAUUUUCUCACUAAAGCUUACAUUUUCCCGGAAAAUGCCGGAAUUUUCUAUUUUGUCGCCGGAAUUUUCCAUUUCCUUUUUACACCUUUGCUUAUAACAUAAACUUUAUUUUUUUUGAAGUAAUAGUAGUUUCCUUCAUCCUUCUUCGUAGAUCUUCAAGUUUAGAAUUCUGUGACUUGUCAUUUUUUAGAAGAAAAAAAAAUAUUGGUAUGAUAGGUUAAAUUUUGUUUUUUUGGCUAUAUAUUACUGUAUUGGUUUUUUCAAUUGUGAAAAUUAUGGAUGAUAAUUUUUCCAGAUGAGUCGAUGUUAACUGUCAGGUCGAUAUGAUUUGUUGUUGGUGUGAAGGUGUGGAGUGGAAAACUAAUUGACCGUACAAAUGGAGAUUAUGCUUAACAACACUGUGCUAACGUGCGCUUCCACGCUUUUACCCUCCACUCAGGAUGGUGUGCCACUGUUGGCAAUUGAGACCAAAGUCGAGGGAGAUCAGAACACAAAUGAUGAGCAGACCAAAGUAGUUGAUGCUGAUGAGGAAGGUGGAGAUGGAGACGACAACGAUGAGAAUGGAAAUGAAGGCUUUGAGGAGGGUGAAGAAGAGUACUCUGAUGAAGGGGUUCAUGGAAACAAAAGCAAAGGAAAUGCCAAGAAAAGCAAUGGAGAAGGUGAGGAGAACGGAGAUGCAGAAGAUGAAGAGGAUGUUGGUGAAGAAGGUCAUGAUGAUGACGGUGACGACGACGAUGAUGGCGACGAUGAUAAUGAUGAUGAUGAAGAAGCUGAAGAAGGAGAGGGUGAAGAAGAAGUCGUAGAGGACGACGAUCCAGAAGAUGAUGAUGAAGAGGAUGAAGAAGAAGAAGCUAUCCAGCCUCCAAAGAAGAGGAAGAAGUGAACAAAUGACCACCUGAAGUUAGUUUAACUUUGACAAGGAGAAUCAUCCAUUAUGCUUUUUAAUUACCUUGCAUUUGAAGUUAUCAAGAACUUUGGAGCUUUUAUUUGAGCAAACAAGAUUCUCCCUUCAAUUUUUAACAUGCCUCGUUAUCAAGUAAAUUAUCUAUCACCAAUAGUUUCUACUUGCACACAAGAUCAAGAAAAUCUACGAAAUCAUUGAUAUAAUACUCAGCUCUGAAUAUCAUCAUUUGAUUAAUGGAUAAAUUAAUCAAUAGUUUCUGAGUAUGAUCAUUUCAAAUUAUUGUUGUUGAAAAGUUAUUCGAUUCUUCAUUUCAAAUUAAAAUAGGUCCACCUUUUGAUUAAAGCUAGACAAGAACCAACACUUCUGAUGUUUGAC
Molecule: long non-coding RNA, 1430 nt
Filed under: Solanum lycopersicum (tomato)
Lineage: Eukaryota; Viridiplantae; Streptophyta; Magnoliopsida; Solanales; Solanaceae
Description: partial TCONS_00068163
Source: RNAcentral